CACACGUGCGAUUGGCGCCAGCGAGAGCUUUAUAUAUACAGAAUAAACUUGCUUAAUUAGAAAUGCUCUCUGAUUUAGCUAAACCUUUUCCAGACCAGUGAAGCACCCCAACUUCUCUUUCAGGUAAUUGUCAGCAACACAGCAGUAA
This is a long non-coding RNA of Myotis brandtii (Brandt's bat), 148 nucleotides long. RefSeq lists it as uncharacterized. The record is from RefSeq and is a predicted model, not a curated record. The transcript is spliced from 2 exons. NCBI's taxonomy places the organism in Eukaryota, Metazoa, Chordata, Mammalia, Chiroptera, Vespertilionidae.